AUUGAACGCUGGCGGAAUGCUUUACACAUGCAAGUCGAACGGCAGCACGGGGCAACCUGGUGGCGAGUGGCGAACGGGUGAGUAAUACAUCGGAACGUGCCCAAUCGUGGGGGAUAACGUAGCGAAAGUUACGCUAAUACCGCAUACGAUCUACGGAUGAAAGCGGGGGAUCGCAAGACCUCGCGCGAAUGGAGCGGCCGAUGUCAGAUUAGGUAGUUGGUGGGGUAAAGGCUCACCAAGCCAACGAUCUGUAGCUGGUCUGAGAGGACGACCAGCCACACUGGAACUGAGACACGGUCCAGACUCCUACGGGAGGCAGCAGUGGGGAAUUUUGGACAAUGGGCGCAAGCCUGAUCCAGCCAUUCCGCGUGCAGGAUGAAGGCCUUCGGUUGUAAACUGCUUUUGUACGGUAACGAAACGGUACUGCCCUAACUACGGCGGGCGUAAUGACGGUACCGUAAGAAUAAGCACCGGCUAACUACGUGCCAGCAGCCGCGGUAAACGUCUAC
RNAcentral lists this ribosomal RNA (509 nucleotides) under uncultured bacterium. RNAcentral describes it as "bacterial SSU rRNA". It matches the Rfam family "Bacterial small subunit ribosomal RNA", at positions 30 to 530 of the family's 1533-position model. The record is from RNAcentral.